This 492-nucleotide ribosomal RNA is filed under the name uncultured bacterium. Its description in RNAcentral is "partial 16S ribosomal RNA". It matches the Rfam family "Bacterial small subunit ribosomal RNA", at positions 28 to 507 of the family's 1533-position model. The record is from RNAcentral.
GAUGAACGCUAGCUACAGGCUUAACACAUGCAAGUCGAGGGGAAACGACAUCGAAAGCUUGCUUUUGAUGGGCGUCGACCGGCGCACGGGUGAGUAACGCGUAUCCAACCUGCCCAUCACUUGGGAAUAACCUUGCGAAAGUAAGACUAAUACCCAAUGACAUCCCACGAAGACAUCUGAAUGGGAUUAAAGAUUUAUCGGUGAUGGAUGGGGAUGCGUCUGAUUAGCUUGUUGGCGGGGUAACGGCCCACCAAGGCAACGAUCAGUAGGGGUUCUGAGAGGAAGGUCCCCCACAUUGGAACUGAGACACGGGCCACACUCCUACGGGAGGCAGCAGUGAGGAAUAUAGGUCAAUGGGCGAGAGCCUGAACCAGCCAAGUAGCGUGCAGGAUGACGGCCCUAUGGGUUGUAAACUGCUUUUAUAAGGGAAUAAAGUGGGUCUCGGGAGACUUUUUGCAUGUACCUUAUGAAUAAGGACCGGCUAAUUCCGUG